This 77-nucleotide transfer RNA is filed under the name Tritonibacter sp. RNAcentral describes it as "tRNA-Arg". It matches the Rfam family "tRNA". From Rfam's summary of the family: Transfer RNA (tRNA) molecules are approximately 80 nucleotides in length. Their secondary structure includes four short double-helical elements and three loops (D, anti-codon, and T loops). RNAcentral also lists the same sequence under 2 other names. The record is from RNAcentral. Lineage: Bacteria; Pseudomonadati; Pseudomonadota; Alphaproteobacteria; Rhodobacterales; Paracoccaceae.
GGCCCCUUAGCUCAACUGGAUAGAGCAGCUGACUUCUAAUCAGCAGGCUGAGGGUUCGAGUCCUUCAGGGGUCGCCA